AUGACGGCUCUCGGUCCUCUUCAUCAUUUUCUGGGUAUUGCAGUCUCUCGCUCUUCUUCUGUGCUCCUUCUCUCUCAUUGUCAGUAUGUCCUUGAACUCCUCUCCAAGGCUGGCAUGCUUGACUGCCACCUUGUCGCACACCAGCUGAAACAGGACCAAAACUUUCUUCUGACGGCGAACCACUCUCUGACCCCACUCUCUAUCGCAGCAUCACUAGAGCGCUUCAAUACCUCACACUCACACGCCCGGAUAUCACCUACGCUGUCCAGCAAGCUUGCUUGUACAUGCAUGAUCCACGCCUUCCGCAUAUGA
This 312-nucleotide ribosomal RNA is filed under the name Triticum aestivum (bread wheat). RNAcentral's name for it is "partial small subunit ribosomal RNA". Lineage: Eukaryota; Viridiplantae; Streptophyta; Magnoliopsida; Poales; Poaceae. The record is from RNAcentral.